UACGAAGGGGGCUAGCGUCGCUCGGAAUCACUGGGCGUAAAGCGCACGUAGGCGGCUUUCUAAGUCAGGGGUGGAAUCCUGGAGCUCAACUCCAGAACUGCCUUUGAUACUGGGAAGCUCGAGUCCGGAAGAGGUAAGUGGAACUGCGAGUGUAGAGGUGAAAUUCGUAGAUAUUCGCAAGAACACCAGUGGCGAAGGCGGCUCACUGGUCCGGUACUGACGCUGAGGUGCGAAAGCGUGGGGAGCAAACAGG
This 253-nucleotide ribosomal RNA is filed under the name uncultured bacterium. Its description in RNAcentral is "partial 16S ribosomal RNA". It matches the Rfam family "Bacterial small subunit ribosomal RNA", at positions 524 to 776 of the family's 1533-position model. The record is from RNAcentral.